This 249-nucleotide ribosomal RNA is filed under the name uncultured bacterium. Its description in RNAcentral is "partial 16S ribosomal RNA". It matches the Rfam family "Bacterial small subunit ribosomal RNA", at positions 524 to 768 of the family's 1533-position model. The record is from RNAcentral.
UACGUAGGGUGCAAGCGUUAAUCGGAAUUACUGGGCGUAAAGCGUGCGCAGGCGGUUUUGUAAGUCUGUCGUGAAAUCCCCGGGCUCAACCUGGGAAUUGCGAUGGAGACUGCAAGGCUAGAAUCUGGCAGAGGGGGGUGAGAAUUCCACGUGUAGCAGUGAAAUGCGUAGAGAUGUGGAGGAACACCAGUGGCGAAGGCGGCUGCCUGGGCCUGGCCUGACGCUGAGGCGGCGAAAGCGGAUGGGGAG